This is a long non-coding RNA of Heterocephalus glaber (naked mole-rat), 957 nucleotides long. The record is from Ensembl. NCBI's taxonomy places the organism in Eukaryota, Metazoa, Chordata, Mammalia, Rodentia, Bathyergidae.
GUCCGGGUGGGCUUUCACAGGAGGCGAGUUUUUUGUUCUUGGUGUUUUGGGGCUCCCUCAUGGACUCUUAGCGCGCACGUUUUAAUGCGCGGAUUCCUCCCUGGCUGUUCCUCAUGACCUUGAUCUCCGCGCAGGGCCGCGCGCACAUCGGGUAACGCACCAAGUUCCCAUCAGGGUCUCCAAGUUUGCUGUUAGGAGGCUCGCGCUUUGGUGAAACCAUUCAUGGUGUUGGCAUGACUGCCCAAGACUCCUUUAGAAUCCCCUCGGAUCCAAUCCCGUAUACUACAUUGCAUUUAAUUGUUGUGUCAUCCUGGUUUCCUCUGGUUGAAGGGUGGAGAUGAAAGUUCCCAGCCUCUCAUCAAAGCUUGCUUAGUCUUUCUGGCAACCAGCUCCAGUCCUGAAGUUGUCCAGGGGGUCUCAAGCCACCGGUAAUCUCAUUGUCACACAAAAGAUACUAAUCACUCUGGAGACUCUAAGAGUUUUAGGAGUUGUGCACCAGUAAUGAGUGAUAAAGACUAAAUGUUUUUUAAGAAUAACACAGCCAUCAUAAAGAAAUUAAAUGUGCUACAUGGCUCCAAACAAAAGAAAGAUCCCAUCCAUUUUUGAAAGACCUCAUAAUAUCAUACAAUGCUAAAGAAUUUAGGCUCUUCCUGACCUGUGUUUGACUUUUGGGACAGAUCUCAUAGCCACUCUCUGCCUCUUCAGUGAUAUCCUCAAUCCAUGAAAUGGGACAACGUCAAUUUCCCCAGACAGAGGAUCAGUGACCUCAGAUCUCUCAGAGCAUAGGGGCUUCUUGCUGUGCAGUCUUAUUUCAUUUGCUUAUCUGUUCAGUCUUCCAUGGAGUUUAGCUCUGUUGCCAUUUUUUUAUUGUUGUUUCCAGAAACCCCAAUAAGAUGAGGAGAUUACUGUUUGAAACUUACAAUCCCAUCAUUUGUCACCCUAUGAGAGAUAAAAAAU